AUUGAACGCUGGCGGCAGGCCUAACACAUGCAAGUCGAGCGGAUGAAGGGAGCUUGCUCCUGGAUUCAGCGGCGGACGGGUGAGUAAUGCCUAGGAAUCUGCCUGGUAGUGGGGGAUAACGUCCGGAAACGGGCGCUAAUACCGCAUACGUCCUGAGGGAGAAAGUGGGGGAUCUUCGGACCUCACGCUAUCAGAUGAGCCUAGGUCGGAUUAGCUAGUUGGUGGGGUAAAGGCCUACCAAGGCGACGAUCCGUAACUGGUCUGAGAGGAUGAUCAGUCACACUGGAAGGGAGACACGCUCCAGCCUCCUAGGGGAGGCACCAGUGGGAAAUUUUGGACAGGGGGCGAAAGCUUGAUCCAUCCAUGCGGGGUGGGUGAAGAAGGUCUGGGAAUUAAAAAGCAUUAUAGUUGGGGGGAAAGGGCAUAAAGUAAAUCCCUUGUUUUUUUGAGUUACCAAACAAAAAAGGCACGGCCAAGCUCGGAC
Molecule: ribosomal RNA, 484 nt
Filed under: uncultured bacterium
Lineage: Bacteria
Description: partial 16S ribosomal RNA
Rfam family: Bacterial small subunit ribosomal RNA
Source: RNAcentral